CCACAACCUUCCCUCUGGUGAUCAGAUUGCAGAAGAACUGUGACAUCAGAACUAUAGAUUGAGGCUAAGAUACGCACAGGAAGAGACGACGAGUCUACAGAGUCUUGAGAAUGGAGAAAGGGAAAGGCUUGGCGGUGAUGGGCCGAAGAUGGGCCGUGGAUUUCACCGGCGUUUCCACCUUUCCUUCCUCUCGGGACACUCCUGAUCCCCCCGGCUUCUUUCGUGCUUCUCUCGAUCAGGAUGAUUCAACGGUGAGUCGUCAAAAGAAAGAUGCUGAGUUAAACUGGAAGGCUCAGAAAGCGUGGGAAGUGGCACUAGCCCCUUUCAAGAAUUUGCUAAUGAUGGGCUUCAUGAUGUGGAUGGCUGGAAGUACUGUGCACUUGUUUAGCAUCGGUAUCACAUUUUCGGCUCUUUGGCAACCAAUACAUGCUCUUCAAGCAGUUGGGAAAGUUUUUGAGCCUUACAAGGAUGGUAAACUUGACCUUCUUGGGACCAGACUACUGUUCAUUGCCCUCAAUUUGGGGGGCUUAGCACUAGGCGUAUGGAAGCUUAAUACAUUGGGUCUUCUUCCAACCCAUGCAUCAGACUGGGUUUCAUCCUUACCCCCUGCUCAGGUCAUAUGGCAUUUGGAGAGUUCUUCAUGCUUGCCCAAGGCACGAGGAGGUGUGGUUUCAAUACAAUUUCAAAUAUCAUCUAGUCCAUUUGUUUGAAUCUGUGUUUACGACUUCAAAUGAUACGUCGGUCUGUUCGAAUCUAAUCUGUUGUCGAGUACUCUGGGGGUGGAUUGCCUUUGCAGUAAGAUGCUUGAUCGGUUCAACCUCUAGAAGAUGGUAAAAUGUCACCACUGACUUUGUAUCUCGGUGUGCAUCGAAGCAGAAAGGAAGCUUGGGUACUCUACUAUGCGCAUCGAUCGCAUUACAUGCUUUGCCAGUUAUGAUCUAGUUGACUGCAAAUCUCAUUGUUGGAUCAUCAAGUAUCUUUGUGUAGAGUCUUGGGAUGCUCCUCAUGCUUUCACUGUUUUGGGGCUCUGUCCACUUUGUUUGCUGACAAUGGGAACUAGGAAAUGCCUAAUGUGCUGCAAAUAUUGUUGUGCAAAUGGACAAUCAAGAAGUUUGUAGGGCAUCUGAGGGUGUAUUAGAUCUGGACAUCUUUGUUUUUGUUAGCCUAAUUGAUGUUAAUAGGUCUCUGUGAUGCUUUGUGAAGCAACUCUUGCUUAUGACAUUAUUUUGAACUUUUAUGUUAUUUCUUGGUGGUUUGUCUGCA
Diospyros lotus (date-plum) is the source of this 1263-nucleotide RNA transcript. RefSeq lists it as uncharacterized. The record is from RefSeq and is a predicted model, not a curated record. The transcript has 7 exons. NCBI's taxonomy places the organism in Eukaryota, Viridiplantae, Streptophyta, Magnoliopsida, Ericales, Ebenaceae.